GUUCCUACGGGCGCAGCAGUGGGGGAUAUUGCACAAUGGGGGGAACCCUGAUGCAGCGACGCCGCGUGAGCGAAGAAGUAUUUCGGUAUGUAAAGCUCUAUCAGCAGGGAAGAAAAUGACGGUACCUGAGUAAGAAGCCCCGGCUAAAUACGUGCCAGCAGCCGCGGUAAUACGUAUGGGGCAAGCGUUAUCCGGAUUUACUGGGUGUAAAGGGAGCGUAGGCGGCCUGGCAAGUCUGAUGUGAAAUACCGGGGCCCAACCCCGGGGCUGCAUUGGAAACUGUCAGGCUGGAGUGUCGGAGAGGG
RNAcentral lists this ribosomal RNA (305 nucleotides) under uncultured bacterium. RNAcentral describes it as "bacterial SSU rRNA". It matches the Rfam family "Bacterial small subunit ribosomal RNA", at positions 335 to 658 of the family's 1533-position model. The record is from RNAcentral.